GUGCCAGCAGCCGCGGUAAUACGGAGGGUGCAAGCGUUAAUCGGAAUUACUGGGCGUAAAGCGCACGCAGGCGGUCUGUUAAGUCAGAUGUGAAAUCCCCGGGCUCAACCUGGGAACUGCAUUUGAAACUGGCAGGCUAGAGUCUCGUAGAGGGGGGUAGAAUUCCAGGUGUAGCGGUGAAAUGCGUAGAGAUCUGGAGGAAUACCGGUGGCGAAGGCGGCCCCCUGGACGAAGACUGACGCUCAGGUGCGAAAGCGUGGGGGAGCAAACAGGAUUAGAUACCCUGGUAGUCC
RNAcentral lists this ribosomal RNA (293 nucleotides) under uncultured microorganism. Its description in RNAcentral is "partial 16S ribosomal RNA". It matches the Rfam family "Bacterial small subunit ribosomal RNA", at positions 505 to 796 of the family's 1533-position model. The record is from RNAcentral.